RNAcentral lists this ribosomal RNA (374 nucleotides) under uncultured Glomeromycotina. Its description in RNAcentral is "LSU rRNA". Lineage: Eukaryota; Fungi; Glomeromycota. The record is from RNAcentral.
UUGAAAGGGAAACGAUUGAAGUCAGUCGUACCAGCGGGAAAUCAACCUUUCGAGUGGGGUUUUGGAGUUUUGAAGAGUGUCAAAACCUUUGAGAUUUCAAAAUUUUCGCUCCUUUGGUGUACUUUCUCGUGGGUAGGUUAACAUCGAUUUCGAUCAUCAUAAAAGGAUUGGAGGAAUGUAGCUUCGAUCUUGUAUUGAAGUGUUAUAGCCUUUGGUAAAUGUGAUGAUUGGGAUCGAGGAUUGCAACGAAUACCCUUUUGGGCUAUCCGCCUGAUCUCUGAUACGUGGCCUUGGCAUCGAAAGCUUGCUUAUGGUAUUGAGGUAUUACGGUCAAAAGGUUAGAACGGAUUACAUUCGUUAAGGAUGUUGACGUA